RNAcentral lists this ribosomal RNA (255 nucleotides) under Streptococcus pneumoniae. RNAcentral describes it as "partial 23S ribosomal RNA". It matches the Rfam family "Bacterial large subunit ribosomal RNA", at positions 2006 to 2260 of the family's 2925-position model. The record is from RNAcentral. Lineage: Bacteria; Bacillati; Bacillota; Bacilli; Lactobacillales; Streptococcaceae.
GAUUUGGGCACUGUCUCAACGAGAGACUCGGUGAAAUUUUAGUACCUGUGAAGAUGCAGGUUACCCGCGACAGGACGGAAAGACCCCAUGGAGCUUUACUGCAGUUUGAUAUUGAGUGUCUGUACCACAUGUACAGGAUAGGUAGGAGUCUAAGAGAUCGGGACGCCAGUUUCGAAGGAGACGCUGUUGGGAUACUACCCUUGUGUUAUGGCCACUCUAACCCAGAUAGGUGAUCCCUAUCGGAGACAGUGUCUG